AAUGGUUGGUCAAGUCUGUAGAUGUAUUCUUCUUGCUCAAAGAAUUCCAUUUGUGUCAUCUGUAAUGUGUGCCAAAAGAAUUAAAGAUGUGCUUGGCAAUAUUUCAGCAAUCCCUGCUGUUGCUGUUUUCAUAGUCCAAUGAAAAGGAUUCAGUGCUUAGCAAGGAGUGUGGUCAACGAAUCUGAACUCAUCAUUCAUUGGUUAUCAAUAUUACGCUGCGUCACCAAGCAGGUGACUAUCCAAGGAAUCUCUUGCUGAAUUGAUCAACUUUAAUCUCUUGCAUGUGAAUG
Lolium perenne is the source of this 290-nucleotide non-coding RNA. The record is from RefSeq and is a predicted model, not a curated record. NCBI's taxonomy places the organism in Eukaryota, Viridiplantae, Streptophyta, Magnoliopsida, Poales, Poaceae.